GCUGAAUGUCAUGAAUGUGCUCAGGAAAUUAAUUACAGUUUUACCUUUCGACCGUAGACUUGAACGGACUGUAAAGGUCCUUUUGGUGGCAUUCUGCAAGAAAAAGAAGCUAUUCAUAGUAAAAAAUAUCUUUAUUCAACAAGUUUAACUUAUUGUUUAGAUUAAUUUGAAGAAAAUAGGUGAAAAUUAGGGGAUAAAAAAGGCAUGCUUCCAACCUGAAAGAUUACCGGAAGUGAAAAGAUCGAGCUAACGGAACCACGUGCUUAGACAAAUAUUACUCUCUAAAUUUUAUA
Molecule: long non-coding RNA, 293 nt
Filed under: Mytilus galloprovincialis (Mediterranean mussel)
Lineage: Eukaryota; Metazoa; Mollusca; Bivalvia; Mytilida; Mytilidae
Source: RNAcentral